Molecule: ribosomal RNA, 505 nt
Filed under: uncultured bacterium
Lineage: Bacteria
Description: partial 16S ribosomal RNA
Rfam family: Bacterial small subunit ribosomal RNA
Source: RNAcentral
AUUGAACGCUGGCGGCAGGCCUAACACAUGCAAGUCGAACGGCAGCACAGAAGAGCUUGCUCUUUGGGUGGCGAGUGGCGGACGGGUGAGUGAUGUCUGGGAAACUGCCCGAUGGAGGGGGAUAACUACUGGAAACGGUAGCUAAUACCGCAUAACGUCGCGAGACCAAAGUGGGGGACCUUCGGGCCUCACACCAUCGGAUGUGCCCAGAUGGGAUUAGCUAGUAGGUGGGGUAAUGGCUCACGUAGGCGCCGAUCCUAGCUGGUCUGAGAGGAUGACCAGCCACACUGGAACUGAGACACGGUCCAGACUCCUACGGGAGGCAGCAGUGGGGAAUAUUGCACAAUGGGCGCAAGCCUGAUGCAGCCAUGCCGCGUGUAUGAAGAAGGCCUUCGGGUUGUAAAGUACUUUCAGCGGGGAGGAAGGCGGUGAGGUUAAUAACCUUGCCGAUUGACGUUACCCGCAGAAGAAGCACCGGCUAACUCCGUGCCAGCCGCCGCGGUAA